CAUUAUAGAGUUACCAAACUCCAAACCCAUGUGAACUUACCAGUUUGUUGCCUCGGUAGGCCUCCGCGUCUCGCCUUCGGGCGGGUGCGGGUACUAUAGGUCUGCCGGCGGUCCACUAAACUCUUGAAUUACAUUGUAAAUCUGAGCGUUUAAAAACAAAUAAGUUAAAACUUUCAACAACGGAUCUCUUGGUUCUGGCAUCGAUGAAGAACGCAGCGAAAUGCGAUAAGUAAUGUGAAUUGCAGAAUUCAGUGAAUCAUCGAAUCUUUGAACGCACAUUGCGCCUAUUAGUAUUCUAGUAGGCAUGCCUAUUCGAGCGUCAUUUCAACCCUUAAGCUUAGCUUAGUGUUGGGAGAUUACCUAACGGUACCUCCCCAAAACCAUUGGCAGAGUCAAUACACCUCUGAGCGUAGUAAUUUCACCUCGCUUCUGUGGUCUGUAUUGAUUAUCGCCAUAAACCUAUUAUUUUCAAUGGUUGACCUCGGAUUAGGUAGGAAUACCCGCUGAACUUAAGCAUAUCAAUAAGCGGAGGAAAAGAAACCAACAGGGAUUGCCCUAGUAACGGCGAGUGAAGCGGCAACAGCUCAAAUUUGAAAUCUGGCCUAGCCCGAAUUGUAAUUUGUAGAGGAUGCUUUUAGUGCGGUGCUUUCCGAGUUCCCUGGAACGGGACGCCUUAGAGGGUGAGAGCCCCGUACGGUUAGUUACCAAUCUUCUGUAAAGCUCCUUCGACGAGUCGAGUAGUUUGGGAAUGCUGCUCAAAAUGGGAGGUAAAUUUCUUCUAAAGCUAAAUACCGGCCAGAGACCGAUAGCGCACAAGUAGAGUGAUCGAAAGAUGAAAAGCACUUUGAAAAGAGGGUUAAAUAGCACGUGAAAUUGUUGAAAGGGAAGCGCUUAUGACCAGACUUUUGCCUUGCGGAUCAUCCGGUGUUCUCACCGGUGCACUUCGCUUGGUUGAGGCCAGCAUCGAUUUUUGCGGGGGGAUAAAGUCUGCGGGAAUGUGGCUCUUCGGAGUGUUAUAGCCCGUGGUAAUACCCCCGUGGGGAUCGAGGU
This 1050-nucleotide ribosomal RNA is filed under the name uncultured fungus. RNAcentral's name for it is "eukaryotic LSU rRNA". The stretch from base 477 to 1050 matches the Rfam family "Eukaryotic large subunit ribosomal RNA", at positions 1 to 588 of the family's 3401-position model. The record is from RNAcentral. Lineage: Eukaryota; Fungi.